This 75-nucleotide transfer RNA is filed under the name Alphaproteobacteria bacterium. Its description in RNAcentral is "tRNA-Val". It matches the Rfam family "tRNA". From Rfam's summary of the family: Transfer RNA (tRNA) molecules are approximately 80 nucleotides in length. Their secondary structure includes four short double-helical elements and three loops (D, anti-codon, and T loops). Lineage: Bacteria; Pseudomonadati; Pseudomonadota; Alphaproteobacteria. RNAcentral also lists the same sequence under 2 other names. The record is from RNAcentral.
GGGCGCUUAGCUCAGCGGGAGAGCACUACCUUCACACGGUAGGGGUCGCUGGUUCAAUCCCAGCAGCGCCCACCA